CCUACGGGAGGCUGCAGUCGGGAAUCUUGCGCAAUGGAGGAAACUCUGACGCAGUGACGCCGCGUAUAGGAAGAAGGUUUUCGGAUUGUAAACUAUUGUCGUUAGGGAAGAUAAAAGACUGUACCUAAGGAGGAAGCGCCGGCUAACUAUGUGCCAGCAGACGCGGUAAUACAAUGGGGGCAAGCGUUACCCGGUAUUAUUGGGUGUAACGGGUGCGUAGACGGAAGAACAAGUUGGUUGUGAAAUCCAUCGGCUCAACUGAGGAACUGCACUCAAAACUAUUCUCCUUGAGUGUCGGAGAGGAAAGUGGAAUUCCUGGUGUAGCGGUGAAAUGCGUAGAUAUUAGGAGGAACACCAGUGGCGAAGGCGACUUUCUGGACGAUAACUGACGUUGAGGCACGAAAGUGUGGGGAGCAAACAGGAUUAGAUACCCUAGUAGUC
Molecule: ribosomal RNA, 441 nt
Filed under: uncultured bacterium
Lineage: Bacteria
Description: partial 16S ribosomal RNA
Rfam family: Bacterial small subunit ribosomal RNA
Source: RNAcentral